GCGAAAUCACAAACUAAUUGGUUAGCCACCAGAUUGUUCUUGACCUACUGAACAACUUUGCCGAAGACAGCAUUGUUCCAAAUCAAGUAAAUCUUGAGAUAUCGCAAGCGAUAACUUAUGAGUACUUCUACUGGCGAGUGAACAUAAGCAACCACUUCUACAUAGCGCCUCUAUCGGCCAAAUUGUCAACUAAUUGGAUGUUAGUUCGCAUUGUGUGGUAGAUCUAUUCUAGUACUACAACUUUGCCAAAGAAAGUAUGGUGCUAUCUUGUAAUACUCCUGAUAUAUUCCCUCACACCCCCAAUUAGGCGAAAUCCCAUAAGCUCUGGGAUUCCUACAACACGGAUUCCUACUGCACCCCCGAACUAACCGUGUAGUAGGAGUCUAGACUGUAUUGCGUUCGUCACUGGAUUGCCCGUGGUCCACCCAACAAAUUUGUCGAAGGCACCACCUACUUAAAUUAUCACGUUAUUGAGAUACACACAUAUACGUUUGUACUUUUGCAUCCAGUUUGUAUGCACACUAGCGCCGCCUAUCGGUUGAAUUCCUACUUACUUGGUUCGUCACUGGAUAGCCCGUGGCCCAGCCAACAACUUUGUCGAAGACACCACACAGUUAAAUUAUCACGUUAUUGAGAUACACGCAUAUACGUUAAUACUAUUGCAUGUAGUUUUUAUGCACACUAGCGCCGCCCAGCGAUGGAUUUGCCAAUGAUUUAGUUCAUCACUGGACAGCUCUUGACCAUGCCAACAACUUUGCCGAAGAUACCAAGUUUUUAUAAAGCAAUAUCGCAAGAAUAUUUACAAUCCUAACUAUCUCAUUUUUAUCAGGUACUUGCGUCUCCAUCCAGCGACGGGUGGUAACGCCGCAGAUGGCUGUUACCACCCUCUUCAACACGCAAAACGUGCAGUGAUGCCAAUUAAAGAAGUUAGAAAUCUUGCGAAUAAAAUGUCCAUUGUUUCGAAAUUUAAUAACGCCCUUAUCUUAAGUGCAACUUAAAAGUUGUCUUCUAACAAAAUGUUCCCUAAUAUAUCCACUAAAUCUUCAGGGGGAGAGCGGAUUUUUAGAGUUGCUUUAAUGUGCCUUUUUCUUCAAAAGUUUGAAAAGUUGGAUUUCCCCAUACUGAAAAAUAAAAAUUCCCAUAUAAAACUUCAAGUCGAUUGCGGACUAGCUUACCGAUUUUUUAGAAUUUUUAAAUUUUGCAGGGCUUGGGUCCAUUUGCAACCAUUUGUGACUAUUCGGGAUUGUGUAUUCGCAAUUUUGCAAAAAUCGACACGGCCUAAUGGACAUUAUUGCCAGAACAUUUGGAACGGUGGCAGAGCUGUACACCCGCCUGAAACGCGAAGCAGCAAAGGUCGGACUCGUGGUGAAUGCCUCAAAAACAAAGUACCUGCUAGUAUGCGGAACCGAAUACGACCGGAUCCGUCUGGGGAGUAAUGUUACGCUAGAUGGGGAUACUUUCGAGGUGGUGGAGGAAUUCGUCUACCUCGGAUCCUUACUGACGGCUGACAACAACGUGAGCCGUGAAAUUCGGAGGCGCAUCAUCAGCGGAAGUCGGGCCUACUACGGGAUCCAGAAGAAACUGCGGUCGAAAAAGAUUCACCCACGCACUAAAUGCACACACUUAAAACCAAUUCUCGAGCUCGGCAAUAAAAAGUGCCGAUACUGAACGGCAAAUUAUGAAAUUGCUGAUUGUUCAGCAAUUUGAAGUCUUAAUUCUGAGAUUCGGUAAAAGAUUUUGCUGAGAAUACGUAAAAACACGACAGCAUGCUGAAACUCGGAAAAGAAAAUUACUGAACUAUUCGGCAUUCAUUGAUUUUACCAAAAUCAGCAAAUGCUUUUGACGAGAUUUCGGUAAAGCAUUAUAUGCUUUGCUGAAAAUCAGUAAAGCAGCUGUCACUUCCAGUCGUCAUUGCUCCAUUCAUCAGCACCAUCUUGUUUACAAGUCUUUGCAGAUAAAGCUGAAAUCUCACUAGAGGAGUUUAAAUUUGUAUUUUGGACAGUAGUAAGUGAAUUUUGGAUGUCUAAUUAUACCGCGGAAGCUUUAAGGAUAGAUGCAGGAGGCGCCACGCGAACACCAUAGCAACGAGCUACAUAAGCAUGAUACACAACACUGCGUGACGUUUUUCAAGUGCCAAAAUUAUUAUUAUAUAAUGCCAAAAUUAAAUAAAUUAUCGAGAAAUUGAUGUUGAAUUUA
Aedes albopictus (Asian tiger mosquito) is the source of this 2196-nucleotide long non-coding RNA. RefSeq lists it as uncharacterized. NCBI's taxonomy places the organism in Eukaryota, Metazoa, Arthropoda, Insecta, Diptera, Culicidae. The record is from RefSeq and is a predicted model, not a curated record. The transcript has 2 exons.